Small nucleolar RNA from Ornithorhynchus anatinus (platypus), 138 nucleotides. NCBI's taxonomy places the organism in Eukaryota, Metazoa, Chordata, Mammalia, Monotremata, Ornithorhynchidae. The record is from RefSeq and is a predicted model, not a curated record.
UCCCUCUCAAGGUUGCACCUGGAGAGUUUCCAGUACUCUACCAGUCUCGACUCUGGAAGGAAUAGUCAAGCAGAGGCCUAGCCAUUCCAUUCCUAGCUUGGGCAGUGGCUAGCGAGUGGAAGGCCAUCUGCUACAAGU